GAUGAACGCUGGCGGCGUGCCUAAUACAUGCAAGUCGAGCGAACAGACGAGGAGCUUGCGCCUCUCACGUUAGCCGCGGACGGGUGAGUAACACGUGUAUAACCUACCUAUCAGUCUGGGAUAAUUUCGGGACACCGGAGCUAACACCGGAUAAUAUACUGAAGCGCAUUGUUCAAUGGUGAAAGACGGCUUUGCGGUCACUUAUAGAUGGAUCCGCGCCGCAUGAGCUAGUUGUUAAGGUAACAGCUUACCAAGGCAACGAUGCGUGGCCGACGUGACAGAGUGGUAGGCCACACUGGAACUGAGACGCGGUCCAGACUCCUACGGGAGGCCGCAGUAGGGAACCUGCCGCAAUGGGCGAAAGCUUGGCGGAGCGAGGCGGCGUGAGAGAUGAAGGUCUUCGGAUCGUAAAACUGUGUUAUUAGGGAAGAACAAAUGUGUAAGUAAAUAUGCACGUCUUGACGGUACCUAAUAAGAAAGCCACGGCUAACUACGUG
Molecule: ribosomal RNA, 497 nt
Filed under: uncultured bacterium
Lineage: Bacteria
Description: partial 16S ribosomal RNA
Rfam family: Bacterial small subunit ribosomal RNA
Source: RNAcentral